UAACGCGUAGGUAACCUGCCUGGUAGCGGGGGAUAACUAUUGGAAACGAUAGCUAAUACCGCAUAAGAGUAGAUGUUGCAUGACAUUUACUUAAAAGGUGCAAUUGCAUCACUACCAGAUGGACCUGCGUUGUAUUAGCUAGUUGGUGGGGUAACGGCUCACCAAGGCGACGAUACAUAGCCGACCUGAGAGGGUGAUCGGCCACACUGGGACUGAGACACGGCCCAG
Molecule: ribosomal RNA, 228 nt
Filed under: uncultured bacterium
Lineage: Bacteria
Also listed under: 1 other name
Description: partial 16S ribosomal RNA
Rfam family: Bacterial small subunit ribosomal RNA
Source: RNAcentral